UACGUAGGGGGCAAGCGUUGUCCGGAAUCAUUGGGCGUAAAGAGCGUGUAGGCGGCCCGGUAAGUCCGUUGUGAAAGUCGAGGGCUCAACCCUCGAAUGCCGGCGGAUACUGUCGGGCUAGAAUCCGGAAGAGGCGAGUGGAAUUCCUGGUGUAGCGGUGAAAUGCGCAGAUAUCAGGAAGAACACCCGUGGCGAAGGCGGCUCUCUGGGACGGUACUGACGCUGAGACGCGAAAGCGUGGGGAGCGAACAGG
Molecule: ribosomal RNA, 253 nt
Filed under: uncultured bacterium
Lineage: Bacteria
Description: partial 16S ribosomal RNA
Rfam family: Bacterial small subunit ribosomal RNA
Source: RNAcentral